UGCAUCGGCCUGGAAUCGAACCCGGGCACGCCCGCGUGGCAGGCGAGCAUUCUACCACUGACCCACCGAUGC
RNAcentral lists this transfer RNA (72 nucleotides) under Cordylochernes scorpioides. Its description in RNAcentral is "tRNA-Gly". The record is from RNAcentral. Lineage: Eukaryota; Metazoa; Arthropoda; Arachnida; Pseudoscorpiones; Chernetidae.